RNAcentral lists this ribosomal RNA (292 nucleotides) under uncultured bacterium. RNAcentral describes it as "partial 16S ribosomal RNA". The record is from RNAcentral.
GGACUACAGGGGUUUCUAAUCCUGUUUGCUACCCUAGCCUUCGCGCCUCAGCGUCAGUUGCAGCCCAGAUAGUCGCCUUCGCCACUGGUGUUCCUCCCGAUAUCUACGCAUUUCACCACUACACCGGGAAUUCCACUAUCCUCUGCUGCACUCUAGUCUUACAGUUUCAAAUGACCCUUGCCGGUUAAGCCGGCCUCUUUCACAUCUGACUUGUAAAACCGCCUGCGCGCUCUUUACGCCCAAUAAUUCCGGACAACGCUUGCAUCCUACGUAUUACCGCGGCGGCUGGCAC